Molecule: ribosomal RNA, 460 nt
Filed under: uncultured bacterium
Lineage: Bacteria
Description: partial 16S ribosomal RNA
Rfam family: Bacterial small subunit ribosomal RNA
Source: RNAcentral
CCUACGGGUGGCAGCAGUGAGGAAUAUUGGUCAAUGGACGAGAGUCUGAACCAGCCAAGUAGCGUGAAGGAUGACUGCCCUAUGGGUUGUAAACUUCUUUUAUAUGGGAAUAAAAUGUUCCACGUGUGGGAUUUUGUAUGUACCAUAUGAAUAAGGAUCGGCUAACUCCGUGCCAGCAGCCGCGGUAAUACAGAGGAUCCGAGCGUUAUCCGGAUUUAUUGGGUUUAAAGGGAGCGUAGGUGGAUUGUUAAGUCAGUUGUGAAAGUUUGCGGCUCAACCGUAAAAUUGCAGUUGAAACUGGCAGUCUUGAGUACAGUAGAGGUGGGCGGAAUUCGUGGUGUAGCGGUGAAAUGCUUAGAUAUCACGAAGAACUCCGAUUGCGAAGGCAGUUCACUGGACUGCAACUGACACUGAGGCUCGAAAGUGUGGGUAUCAAACAGGAUUAGAUACCCGAGUAGUC